CCUACGGGAGGCAGCAGUGGGGAAUUUUGGACAAUGGGCGAAAGCCUGAUCCAGCCAUUCCGCGUGCAGGAUGAAGGCCCUCGGGUUGUAAACUGCUUUUGUACAGAACGAAAAGGUUUCUAUUAAUACUAGGAGCUCAUGACGGUACUGUAAGAAUAAGCACCGGCUAACUACGUGCCAGCAGCCGCGGUAAUACGUAGGGUGCAAGCGUUAAUCGGAAUUACUGGGCGUAAAGCGUGCGCAGGCGGUUAUAUAAGUCAGAUGUGAAAUCCCCAGGCUCAACCUGGGAACUGCAUUUGAGACUGUAUAGCUAGAGUACGGUAGAGGGGGAUGGAAUUCCGCGUGUAGCAGUGAAAUGCGUAGAUAUGCGGAGGAACACCGAUGGCGAAGGCAAUCCCCUGGACCUGUACUGACGCUCAUGCACGAAAGCGUGGGGAGCAAACAGGAUUAGAUACCCUGGUAGUCCACGCCCUAAACGAUGUCAACUGGUUGUUGGGUCUUAACUGACUCAGUAACGAAGCUAACGCGUGAAGUUGACCGCCUGGGGAGACGCCGCGAGUAGAACGUAAAGUAAGUAGUAGACGNGNGAGNGACGACGACGACGACGACGGAGGGAGGNGG
Molecule: ribosomal RNA, 621 nt
Filed under: uncultured bacterium
Lineage: Bacteria
Description: bacterial SSU rRNA
Rfam family: Bacterial small subunit ribosomal RNA (bases 1-542)
Source: RNAcentral